CUACGGGAUGCAGCAGUGGGGAAUAUUGGACAAUGGGGGAAACCCUGAUCCAGCAAUGCCGCGUGUGUGAAGAAGGCCUGCGGGUUGUGAAGCACUUUCGGUUGGGAGGACUGCUUCUAGCACUAAUAUUGUUGGAAGUUGACGUUACCUUCAGAAGAAGCACCGGCUAACUCCGUGCCAGCAGCCGCGGUAAUACGGAGGGUGCAAGCGUUAAUCGGAAUUACUGGGCGUAAAGCGCGCGUAGGCGGCUAGAUCAGUCGGGUGUGAAAGCCCCGGGCUUAACCUGGGAACUGCAUCCGAUACUGUCUAGCUUGAGUACAGGAGAGGAGAGUGGAAUUCCACAUGUAGCGGUGAAAUGCGUAGAUAUGUGGAGGAACACCAAUGGCGAAGGCAGCUCUCUGGCCUGAUACUGACGCUGAGGUGCGAAAGCGUGGGGAUCAAACAGGAUUAGAUACCCCUGUAGUC
This 465-nucleotide ribosomal RNA is filed under the name uncultured bacterium. RNAcentral describes it as "partial 16S ribosomal RNA". It matches the Rfam family "Bacterial small subunit ribosomal RNA", at positions 339 to 795 of the family's 1533-position model. The record is from RNAcentral.